UACGUAGGGGGCAAGCGUUGUCCGGAAUUAUUGGGCGUAAAGAGCGCGUAGGCGGUCCGAUAAGUCGGCUGUGAAAGUCAUGGGCUCAACCCAUGAAAGCCGGCCGAUACUGUCGGACUAGAGUUCGGAAGAGGCAAGUGGAAUUCCCGGUGUAGCGGUGAAAUGCGCAGAUAUCGGGAGGAACACCAAUUGCGAAGGCAGCUUGCUGGGACGAUACUGACGCUGAGGAGCGAAAGCGUGGGGAGCGAACAGG
Molecule: ribosomal RNA, 253 nt
Filed under: uncultured bacterium
Lineage: Bacteria
Description: partial 16S ribosomal RNA
Rfam family: Bacterial small subunit ribosomal RNA
Source: RNAcentral